GGGGUCCCUACUCUACCCACAAGCCCAAAUCAUUAUUGGGUUAUGUUUGUUAUGGUAAUUUUUACAAAUAAAAAGUGGAGAAGAAUCAAAAAAGAAUGUAAAGUUUGAAGCUUUUUCAUAUGUUUUUGGUUGAUCUGAGAAAGAAUGGAGUUUUUUGAUUGAUUGGACGUUUUAAGUAUGGAAACUACAGUGGCUGGCUUGUCUUGUUUUCAGUGUUAUUCAUGUAAUGGUGAAAGGAAGGAUUGUAGAGUAUGAAGAAUGUUAAUUGUGUCAGCAAAAGGGGAAGACGUCAGAUUAUUUGUGUGUGUGCAAGAUAAUGAACUGCCUAAGCUUGUCGGAAUAUAUUCUGAUGGAUGAAAUGGUUACAUCUCCUGAAUGCCUUGCAACUAAGGAUCACACGUCGAGUGUCCAUUCAUUACGAGCUGGAGAAUCUGGCCAGAAGCCUGAUACUGGAAAUAUCGAAGAAGCUGAAUCAUCUUUGCGUGAGAGUGGUUGUUUGAAUUAUGAGGAAGCAAGAGCAUUACUAGGAAGAUAUGAAUACCAAAAGGGGAAUAUAGAGUCCGCUUUACAUGUUUUUGAAGGGAUAGAUAUUGCCUCAGUGACUCCUAAGUUGAAACUUGCACUUGCCGAAAGAGUGCAAACUCAAAAGAGACGUUCACGGAGUUUUUCUACACCACCACUAUCCAUAAACGCUGUGAGUUUGCUCCUGGAAGCAGUCUUUCUCAAAGCAAAAUCAUUGCAGGCUCUUGGGAGGUUUAAAGAAGCUGCUCAAUCAUGCACUGUUAUUCUGGAUAUUGUUGACUCUUCAUUACCAGAAGGCUUGCC
RNAcentral lists this unclassified non-coding RNA (825 nucleotides) under Hevea brasiliensis (rubber tree). Lineage: Eukaryota; Viridiplantae; Streptophyta; Magnoliopsida; Malpighiales; Euphorbiaceae. The record is from RNAcentral.